RNAcentral lists this ribosomal RNA (432 nucleotides) under Triticum aestivum (bread wheat). RNAcentral describes it as "partial small subunit ribosomal RNA". The record is from RNAcentral. Lineage: Eukaryota; Viridiplantae; Streptophyta; Magnoliopsida; Poales; Poaceae.
AUGGAUAUUAGGGUGAGCAAAAACGCUCAUAAGCUGUUUAGUGUCCAGCAAAAUUCUUUUAUUAAGGGGAGACAUAUUGUUGAUGGUAUUCUCUCCCUGCAAGAAGUGUUGCAUUAUACACAUGUCAAAAAACAAGUGGGGGUGAUCCUUAAACUCGAUUUUGAAAAAGCCUAUGACAAAGUUAAUUGGGAGUUUUUGCUUGAUUGUCAUGAGAAGCGUGGCUUUAACUCUAAGUGGUGUGGGUGGGUAUCUCAAAUCCUGAAAAAUGGCACGAUACGUGUCGAGAUUAACGAUGAGGUCGGCCCCUAUAUACAAAGUGCUAAGGGGGUACGGCAGGGGGACCCUCAUUCCCCCUUCCUGUUUAACAUUGCGGCUGAAUGCCUGACUAAAAUGGUGCUUUCAACACAAAAAACGAACUCAUUAAAGGUUUAG